This 812-nucleotide ribosomal RNA is filed under the name uncultured bacterium. RNAcentral's name for it is "bacterial SSU rRNA". It matches the Rfam family "Bacterial small subunit ribosomal RNA", at positions 636 to 1447 of the family's 1533-position model. The record is from RNAcentral.
UNUGACUUGAGUGCAGAAGGGGAGAGUGGAAUUCCAUGUGUAGCGGUGAAAUGCGUAGAUAUAUGGAGGAACACCAGUGGCGAAAGCGGCUCUCUGNUCUGUCACUGACGCUGAGGCUCGAAAGCGUGGGUAGCGAACAGGAUUAGAUACCCUGGUAGUNCACGCCGUAAACGAUGAGUGCUAGGUGUUAGGCCCUUUCCGGGGCUUAGUGCCGGAGCUAACGCAAUAAGCACUCCGCCUGGGGAGUACGACCGCAAGGUUGAAACUCAAAGGAAUUGACGGGGGCCCGCACAAGCGGUGGAGCAUGUGGUUUAAUUCGAAGCAACGCGAAGAGCCUUACCAGGUCUUGACAUCCCGAUGCUAUUCUUAGAGAUAGGAAGUUACUUCGGUACAUCGGAGACAGGUGGUGCAUGGUUGUCGUCAGCUCGUGUCGUGAGAUGUUGGGUUAAGUCCCGCAACGAGCGCAACCCUUAUUGUUAGUUGCCAUCAUUAAGUUGGGCACUCUAGCGAGACUGCCGGUAAUAAACCGGAGGAAGGUGGGGAUGACGUCAAAUCAUCAUGCCCCUUAUGACCUGGGCUACACACGUGCUACAAUGGUCGGUACAACGAGUUGCGAGCCGGUGACGGCAAGCUAAUCUCUGAAAGCCGAUCUCAGUUCGGAUUGGAGGCUGCAACUCGCCUCCAUGAAGUCGGAAUCGCUAGUAAUCGCGGAUCAGCACGCCGCGGUGAAUACGUUCCCGGGCCUUGUACACACCGCCCGUCACACCACGAGAGUUUGUAACACCCGAAGUCGGUGAGGUANCCUUUUAGGG